Molecule: long non-coding RNA, 2841 nt
Filed under: Capsicum annuum
Lineage: Eukaryota; Viridiplantae; Streptophyta; Magnoliopsida; Solanales; Solanaceae
Description: long non-coding RNA (CANN_LNC011912)
Source: RNAcentral
AUUUACACACAAAAACAAAUUCAACAAAAUUCCUAACAACUUUGACGCCUCAUCCUAACAAAUUAACCACUCAAAUUUCAACACCCUCCACCUUAUUCUAACCACACUCCUACCCCCUAUACCUCUUACCCCACAUACCCCCUAAAUCCCACCCCACUCACAAUACAUACGCAUACACUCACUGGAAAUAAAAAAUAGACCAUAUACGCACAACACACAGAUAUACACACUAUGGGUGAAAUACACGUACAUAUACAAUACACACACCUCACAAGUAACAAAUAGAGGCAAGGGCCCACAGGGGAAUAUACUCACAUACAACCCUCACCAUUAAGGAGGAACUGGUCCAUUUUUUUUCAGGGGAGCACACACAAUAUACACACAUUACAUCACAGAAAGGGGGGAGAGGCACAAAAACUCACUGGAAGGGCAACAAUCUCACACAUAUAUUCAUAAUUCCACUCACACACAGAGAUCACUCCCCACCGUCACUCUCACAGCCACACACACUAACACAUAGACGACACACACAAAUAAAGAAAAUAGAGGAAUUGGGGAGAAAAAACACACAUCAAUAUACACAACACCACACACACCAGUGAGAGAGAGAUCGAAGGAGAAAAAUUGAGAAAACAAAGAGAAAAUUGAGUGAGAGAGAUUUCGAGAGAGAGAGGAGAAAACAGAGAAGAGAUUGGGAGAGAAAGAAAAAGAGGGGAGGAACAGCGGAGAAGGAAUUUCCAACGAAUUCUCGCUGGAAAACGUCACUGCCAUCAGAAAUUUGAUCCAUUCUCAGGCUCCCACCACCGUUUGAGCUCGCCGAAGCUCCGGCAACACAACCAUAACUACUCAGCUCCGUUUUUCAAUUGAAUCGUCACCUAGAAAUCGUUCGAAAACCUAAAUUCUCCUUUGAUAGUGUUAAACAGUCGACAGAUGGUUUAGUUUGAGUUCGAGGAUUUGUGCGAGGUUCCAGAAUCACAAAGUUGUAUUUCGAUCGGAUAGUUCAAAUUGAAAUAAGAUUGAGGUCCAAUUCUUUAACUCUAUCUUUUUUCAUUUUUAUCAUAAUAUGAUGGGUUGAUGUUGUGAUUACGUGUUUGAUGAUAUAUUUUGAUAAGUGUGUGUGAGAAAUUUUAAUCGUCAUAGUUGUGACUAAUAUUGACUAAUCAUGUGAUUAGAAUAAGUGGAACGAAAGUUGAAAAUUGAUAAGAAGGAAACAUUAGUUGUUUUGAUUCAUUGAUGUCGUUGAAUGUGAAAAUGUCAUGAUAGAUCGAAUCGAUAGGCAAAUUAUAGGUUUUGGGGUAGGCAAACCUUAGGAUUCUGUAUUAACGAAUGUGUGAAUGCUUGUUUGGAAUGGUUUCCUAUUUAUAUCGCAUUUUUAUCAAAUGUAUUUAUUAAUCGAAGAAUGCCUCGAGGUCAUGUGUAUAUAUUUAUUCACCGAGGAAUGCCCUAACGUAUUAUGUACGCAAAGGAGGUUCGUGAUGAACGCCCAAGGCAUCGGGUAAAGCAUUGGAGCUUAGUCUAGGAUUAGUUUAGAAUAGGAUUUACAUUUUCGUAUUUUUCUAUUUUUGGGACUGUAUAACUCGGACUGGACAUUAUUUUGGUUUUGAACUUUGUUUGAUUUGUUUGUUGCUUGUUUUAUGUGUUUUUGUGUGAUUUAUAUAUUUAUGGUGUCAAAUUAGUCGAUAUGCUCUACCAAGCGACUGUAGUCGAACCACGAGAUCGAGGGGUGUCUUAACACAUUUCCCUCGGUCAACAGAUUUCCUUAACCGAAAUCUUUGUACAUGGACCAGUUUUAAAGAGUCAAAUUGUUUUGAAAAAGGAUUUCCAGUGGUGACUUGGCACACCCGAUUUAUGCCAAGUGGCAACUCUGAAUUUAAUUGUGAAAUGAAUCUUUUUCGAAACAAAUCUUCAUUUUUAUCACUUUAAUAAUAAAAUCCUUUCAAACUUAAAAUCAAUCUUUUUUGGGUUAAAAAGAGGGGUGUGGCAGCUCUGACGACUCCACUGGGGAAUUUUCAGAAUUCGAGCUUAUUUUGGAAGUUGUAUCGACUUAGUUCGACAUUAUGGAUGUAUAAACAUUGUUUGUGUUUUCAUUUGUAUUUGGUUUACACUUGUUGAUCAUCUAUGUGCUAAAUGUUUACAUUUUUUAUUAUGUGUUACCGCUUUAUAUUUGGCAUCAUGUGCAUAACCCGAGUCAUUUUUUUUGCAACAAGUCUAUAGUACACGUGUGUACAAGACCUCUAGUUGAGUCACCUUUAUUUUAGGAGAGGGAGCCGUUGGGUGGAUGGAGUAGGUAGAAAGUUAUCGCAGUCACUAUCAACCAUACGCUCCCUUGAACAACCUUGUUAGUGAACCUCAGCUUAGGUCAGCCUUUAGGUCAUGCUUAUCUGCAUCAUAUUGAGACCUAACGGGCACAUAAUCCUUUGUAGGAGACUCACCCCUCAAAGUCCGGAUUUGAAACAAACUUGAGAAAACAUGGAGGGAAUUCAAAAUUUGAAUCUCCAAACUUCUGAAAAACGCCCAACUUGAAAGCCAUUAAUGGAGGAUUGCAGAUUUUCUAUUUUUUACACAAAUUUGGGGAUGAGCCUUCUGCCUUUUUCGGAUUUGUGAGCUGGAAUGACGAAUUUGGGGCAGGAUCUUUGCAGUGGUGGCAAACGGCGACAGCUAUGGAGGGAGGCUAGGGUUCUGGUUUUGGUAAGAUGGACAGAUGGGGAAGAAGAAAGGGAAAGGGAUGGAUUGUUUUGGUUGUGUUUUUGGAAAAUUGAUGUGACCAUAUGCUGGUCUUCUUGAAACAAACAACACGCAUUUUCUGGUUCUUAACCGGCGCAUGGGAUGUUUUAUUUAAUG